AAUCUUUUUUUUGCCGCCAUGACAGCCUAUAUUGAGUCCCGUCGGCGCAAGUCGACUAUGGCGAUAAACAGCCUUCGUAAUAAGCCACUCGGACCCGGGGGCAGUACCCGGCGCCUCCACCAGGGAUCAGCGAAUCAGAUAUCGGCGAGCGAGCGUCUGAAAUCGAAAAGCGGACUGAUCCGUGGCGGGGGCGAAACAGGAUCGACGAGGGUGUAAAGGUCGUGCUUUUGCCCGGCAUGGUUCCGCCGUUAUCGGGCCAACCCUAUAGUUGCCAAUGACAACUAUGCGGAGGCUGCUCUCGCUGCGUAAGCGGCGCGAUAGCCUGAAAAUGAAGUCCUAACCGCUUCGCAGCGGCUAGGCGCGGUUCGGAGGGCACCGGCCAACAGAAGCCCUCCACU
This 398-nucleotide transfer-messenger RNA is filed under the name Hyphomicrobiales bacterium. It matches the Rfam family "Alphaproteobacteria transfer-messenger RNA". From Rfam's summary of the family: Bacterial tmRNA, also known as 10Sa RNA or SsrA, is named for its dual tRNA and mRNA-like properties. Its role is to liberate the mRNA from a stalled ribosome. The record is from RNAcentral. Lineage: Bacteria; Pseudomonadati; Pseudomonadota; Alphaproteobacteria; Hyphomicrobiales.